UAAGCGGGAUGUGAAAUCCAAGUGCUCAACCCUUGAACUGCAUUUCGAACUGGCAGACUUGAGAAUGGGAGAGGAAGCUGGAAUUCCUAGUGUAGGAGCGAAAUCCGUAGAUAUUAGGAGGAACACCAAUGGCGAAGGCAGGCUUCUGGCCCAUUUCUGACGCUGAGGCACGAAAGCGUGGGAGCGAACGGGAUUAGAUACCCCGGUAGUCCACGCCGUAAACGAUGGAUACUA
Molecule: ribosomal RNA, 234 nt
Filed under: uncultured Candidatus Saccharibacteria bacterium
Lineage: Bacteria; Candidatus Saccharimonadota
Description: partial 16S ribosomal RNA
Rfam family: Bacterial small subunit ribosomal RNA
Source: RNAcentral